UUUGUUAAGGGAUAUUUCUCAGGAUUAUGUAUUUGGGGCUUGGGUGAGAGAAAAUUAUUUCUGAGAGUGGCUGUAAUAAUUUUCCACAUAGUGAAUAUUUUUCUCUGGUUGUUUUGUGACAACGGCUGUGGUUUUUCUCCGGAUUUAGAGUUUUCCACGUAAAUCUUGUGUUGUGUGAUUGGAGUAUUCUCCAUUUAAUUUUUCCUAUUAAUUUGUUGCUUGAUAAAUUGCUUGGAGUGAUCUUGGGAGGAAGCUCAAUUUCCUAACAGUGGUAUCAGAGCCAUUGAUUGAAGUUUUGGUGUCGGGGUACUAUUCACGUAUACGGUAUUGUUCACGUGAAGCAGUGGGAGCCAAUCCAAAUAAUCUGUGGUGAAGAGAAUAGGAAGCAAAUAUGUCAGCAGCUGGUGUUUUUCAAACUUGGUUGAAGUUUGAUGUUGUUAAAAAAUUAAUGGGAGAAUGAUUUUAUUGGCUUGUGGAGAAUUCAAGUCAAAGGUGUAUCCAAUCUGGUAUGCACAAAGAUUUGAAGGUGUGGACAAUUUUGGCACCUUAAGAAAAUUGUCAAGAAGGUGGAGUGGGCUCGGCAAAUUACUCCAGAAUCAGUAAAGGAGACACUGAUAUUCUCGCAGAUGGUGAGUUUCCUUUUGUUAGGAGACUUGGUUAGUUCUUUUGGCAUGUAGAUCUCCAAGUUGCCAUGAAAGAGAACAUGUUAUGAUCAGCGGGGUCCACAAGUUUGCAUGCGGGCAUUGGCUUGGUAUAAAUGCAAGGUGUGUGGUGGAAAAGUUAUGUCAUAGCUGAAGAAUUCUCAGGGAAAUCAAGCAUGAGAAUUGCACCAUAAAUUUCAGCAGGAUAUUUUGACAUGUACCGAG
RNAcentral lists this long non-coding RNA (866 nucleotides) under Citrus sinensis (sweet orange). RNAcentral describes it as "long non-coding RNA (CSIN_LNC005145)". Lineage: Eukaryota; Viridiplantae; Streptophyta; Magnoliopsida; Sapindales; Rutaceae. The record is from RNAcentral.